UACGGAGGGGGCGAGCGUUAAUCGGAAUUACUGGGCGUAAAGCGUGCGUAGGCGGUUAUUUAAGUCGGGUGUGAAAGCCCCGGGCUCAACCUGGGAAUUGCAUUCGAGACUGAAUAGCUAGGGUACGGUAGAGGGAAGUGGAAUUUCCGGUGUAGCGGUGAAAUGCGUAGAUAUCGGAAGGAACAUCAGUGGCGAAAGCGACUUCCUGGACCAGUACCGACGUUCAGGCACGAAAGCGUGGGGAGCAAACAGG
RNAcentral lists this ribosomal RNA (253 nucleotides) under uncultured bacterium. RNAcentral describes it as "partial 16S ribosomal RNA". It matches the Rfam family "Bacterial small subunit ribosomal RNA", at positions 524 to 776 of the family's 1533-position model. The record is from RNAcentral.